Acomys russatus (golden spiny mouse) is the source of this 130-nucleotide small nucleolar RNA. RefSeq annotates it as small nucleolar RNA SNORA40. The transcript has a single exon. NCBI's taxonomy places the organism in Eukaryota, Metazoa, Chordata, Mammalia, Rodentia, Muridae. The record is from RefSeq and is a predicted model, not a curated record.
GACAUUCAUGUAUACUUUUGUUUGACUUGUGGACAAACACAGACUGAUGUCAAAAUAAUAAUAAAAAUUCUCUCUUAUAAGCCAGAACUCAGUGUUUUCUGUGAGUUUGAUACAUAUAUUAAGGGAUAUU